AUGAGCCCCUCCACUCCUUCCAGCGAGGCCCCGAACCUCGACCACGCCACCACGUCCUCGCCCCUCGCCGGAUCCUGCAGGCCGCCGCCCGGCUCCCUCGCGCCCUUGCCGGGCUCCUCUUCCUCCACGCCCGCCUCGCACCAGGAGCUCAACCUCGUGCCCCUCCACGCCCGCCUCGCGCCCGAACUCCUCUGCACGCCGCGCCCUGCCACCGGUGCAUCGCCCCGAAGCUACGGUGCCGCUGUCGAGUCGCCAUGGCCCCUACCUCUUGCACCUUCUCCUUACCUUCCUUUCCCCACCAGGGACCCUCCCGCCGGAGCCCAAGUCCGGCGCCGCCUCGCCUCCUUGAUCCCAUCGCCCGUUGCCCGCUCCUCGCAGGGUUUCGAGUGCUGGUGCUCCUCGUAG
This 405-nucleotide ribosomal RNA is filed under the name Triticum aestivum (bread wheat). RNAcentral's name for it is "partial small subunit ribosomal RNA". The record is from RNAcentral. Lineage: Eukaryota; Viridiplantae; Streptophyta; Magnoliopsida; Poales; Poaceae.